RNAcentral lists this ribosomal RNA (223 nucleotides) under uncultured bacterium. RNAcentral's name for it is "partial 16S ribosomal RNA". It matches the Rfam family "Bacterial small subunit ribosomal RNA", at positions 328 to 539 of the family's 1533-position model. The record is from RNAcentral.
ACGCUCGACACCUACUGGAGGCAGCAGUAGGGAAUCUUCCACAAUGGACGCAAGUCUGAUGGAGCAACGCCGCGUGAGUGAAGAAGGUUUUCGGAUCGUAAAGCUCUGUUGUUGGUGAAGAAGGAUAGAGGUAGUAACUGGCCUUUAUUUGACGGUAAUCAACCAGAAAGUCACGGCUAACUACGUGCCAGUAGCCGCGGUAAUCUGAGCGGGCUGGCAAGGC